RNAcentral lists this ribosomal RNA (250 nucleotides) under uncultured bacterium. Its description in RNAcentral is "partial 16S ribosomal RNA". It matches the Rfam family "Bacterial small subunit ribosomal RNA", at positions 524 to 773 of the family's 1533-position model. The record is from RNAcentral.
UACGGAGGAUGCAAGCGUUAUCCGGAAUGAUUGGGCGUAAAGCGUCCGUAGGUGGCUGUGUGUGUCUAUUGUUAAAGAGUUUGGCUCAACCAAAUAAGGGCGGUAGAAACUACACAGCUAGAGUGCGUUCGGGGCAGAGGGAAUUCCUGGUGUAGCGGUGAAAUGCGUAGAGAUCAGGAAGAACACCGGUGGCGAAAGCGCUCUGCUAGGCCGCAACUGACACUGAGGGACGAAAGCUAGGGGAGCGAAU